AUAAAAAUAAGCUAAAUAAAGCUCUUUGGUUCAUACCCAAAUUAUAGAUUAUUAUAAAUCUUUUUUAUA
Molecule: transfer RNA, 69 nt
Filed under: Microctonus brassicae
Lineage: Eukaryota; Metazoa; Arthropoda; Insecta; Hymenoptera; Braconidae
Source: RNAcentral